This 448-nucleotide long non-coding RNA is filed under the name Salmo salar (Atlantic salmon). RNAcentral describes it as "lncRNA (ENSSSAG00000112621.1)". Lineage: Eukaryota; Metazoa; Chordata; Actinopteri; Salmoniformes; Salmonidae. The record is from RNAcentral.
CUGGGGUGGAAAGGUAGGUCUACUCUGUCUGGGGUGGAAAGGUAGGCCUACUCUGUCUGGGGUGGAAAGGUAGGCCUACUCUGUCUGGGGUGGAAAGGUAGGCCUACUCUGUCUGGGGUGGAAAGGUAGGCCUACUCUGUCUGGGGUGGAAAGGUAUGCCUACUCUGUCUGGGGUGGAAAGGUAGGUCUACUCUGUCUGGGGUGGAAAGGUAGGUCUACUCUGUCUGGGGUGGAAAGGUAGGCCUACUCUGUCUGGGGUGGAAAGGUAGGUCUACUCUGUCUGGGGUGGAAAGGUAGGCCUACUCUGUCUGGGGUGGAAAGGUAGGCCUACUCUGUCUGGGGUGGAAAGGUAGGCCUACUCUGUCUGGGGUGGAAAGGUAGGUCUACUCUGUCUGGGGUGGAAAGGUAGGCCUACUCUGUCUGGGGUGGAAAGGUAGGCCUACUCUGU